This 484-nucleotide ribosomal RNA is filed under the name uncultured bacterium. RNAcentral's name for it is "partial 16S ribosomal RNA". It matches the Rfam family "Bacterial small subunit ribosomal RNA", at positions 30 to 507 of the family's 1533-position model. The record is from RNAcentral.
AUUGAACGCUGGCGGCAGGCCUAACACAUGCAAGUCGAGCGGAUGAAGGGAGCUUGCUCCUGGAUUCAGCGGCGGACGGGUGAGUAAUGCCUAUGAAUCUGCCUGUUAGUGGGGGAUAACGUCCGGAAACGGGCGCUAAUACCGCAUACGUCCUUAGGGAGAAAGUGGGGGAUCUUCGGACCUCACGCUUUCAGAUGAGCCUAGGUCGGAUUAGCUAGUUGGUGGGGUAAAGGCCUACCAAGGCGACGAUCCGUAACUGGUCUGAGAGGAUGAUCAGUCACAAUGGAACUGAGACACGGUCCAGACUCCUACGGGAGGCAGCAGUGGGGAAUAGUGGACAAUGGGCGAAAGCCUGAUCCAGCCAUGCCGCGUGUGUGAAGAAGGGCUUCGGAUUGUAAAGCACUUUAAGUUGGGAGGAAGGGCAGUAAGUUAAUACCUUGCUGUUUUGACGUUACCAACAGAAUAAGCACCGGCUAACUCCGUG